UGAUGGCGACCGGCGCACGGGUGAGUAACACGUGUGCAACCAACCCCGUACCGGGAGAUAACCCGCGGAAACGUGGACUAACAUCCCAUGAGACUCUAGAUCCGCAUGGCUCUAGAUUUAAAAUUCCGGUGGUACGGGACGGGCACGCGCGACAUUAGGUAGUUGGCGGGGUAAGGGCCCACCAAGCCGACGAUGUCUAGGGGUUCUGAGAGGAAGGUCCCCCACACUGGAACUGAGACACGGUCCAG
RNAcentral lists this ribosomal RNA (248 nucleotides) under uncultured bacterium. RNAcentral's name for it is "partial 16S ribosomal RNA". It matches the Rfam family "Bacterial small subunit ribosomal RNA", at positions 86 to 334 of the family's 1533-position model. The record is from RNAcentral.